RNAcentral lists this unclassified non-coding RNA (284 nucleotides) under plant metagenome. RNAcentral describes it as "partial contains small subunit ribosomal RNA, internal transcribed spacer 1, and 5.8S ribosomal RNA". The stretch from base 1 to 54 matches the Rfam family "Eukaryotic small subunit ribosomal RNA", at positions 1778 to 1831 of the family's 1831-position model. The record is from RNAcentral.
GGAAGUAAAAGUCGUAACAAGGUCUCCGUUGGUGAACCAGCGGAGGGAUCAUUACCGAGUUUACAACUCCCAAACCCCCUGUGAACUUAUACCAUUUACUGUUGCUUCGGCGGGUCAUGGCCCCGGGGAAGGACAGCGGUCGCCGUCAGGCCUCAGCUGCCCGCCCCCGGAAACAGGCGCCCGCCGGGGAACUCAAACUCUUCUGUAUUUCUUUAUCUAAUAUAUACUGUCUGAGUAAAAACUAAAAUGAAUCAAAACUUUCAACAACGGAUCUCUUGGUUCUG